Molecule: ribosomal RNA, 391 nt
Filed under: uncultured Nitrospina sp.
Lineage: Bacteria; Pseudomonadati; Nitrospinota; Nitrospinia; Nitrospinales; Nitrospinaceae
Description: bacterial SSU rRNA
Rfam family: Bacterial small subunit ribosomal RNA
Source: RNAcentral
AACGAACGCUGGCGGUGUGCUUAACACAUGCAAGUCGAACGAGAACGUUUCUUUCGGGAAACUAGUAAAGUGGCGCAAGGGUGAGUAACACGUGAAUAAUCUGCCCUCGAGAUCGGGAUAACUCCGGGAAACCGGAGCUAAUACCGAAUAAUGCAACGAAUCCUUCGGGAUAUGUUGUUAAAAGCGGGCUUCGGCUCGCACUUUAAGAUGGGCCUGCGUCCGAUUAGCUUGUUGGCGGAUAACAGCCCACCAAGGCGACGAUGGUUAGCCGGCCUGAGAGGGUGAUCGGCCACACUGGAACUGAGACACGGUCCAGACUCCUACGGAGGCAGCAGUUUCGAAUCAUUCACAAUGGGCGAAAGCCUGAUGGUGCAACGCCGCGUGGGGGAUG